Long non-coding RNA from Zea mays, 1131 nucleotides. RefSeq lists it as uncharacterized. The transcript is spliced from 3 exons. NCBI's taxonomy places the organism in Eukaryota, Viridiplantae, Streptophyta, Magnoliopsida, Poales, Poaceae. The record is from RefSeq and is a predicted model, not a curated record.
GCCUAGAAACCUAAAUUACCACUGCCCAGCAGGCCUCUCCAAUCUCCACACGAGGCACGCCGCCGCCGUGGCCUCUCCCUCACUCCACGCCGCGUCGCCGGCGCUUCUGCUUCCUGCAUCCUGCUCCUGCCGUCCUGCGUCCUCACUCCUCAAUCCCUCUCGGCUCUCAGGCGGUCAAGCCCUUGGCCUCUCCCUCGACGCCAGCUGCGGGCCGCCCUCGACGUCGGCCGCGACGCUGCCUUCGACGACGCCCUUCCUGUAGCCGGUCGUCGUUUCCCCUCGCUGCUCUUGGAGCCGGUCGUCCCCGCCGUGAUGCCCUAUCCCAACAGCAAACAUGUCGUCACAUCUGCUCCCCAUGCUAAGCUCGCCCCUGCUCCCUAACGGCAUCACCUGCAGCAGCUGCGUUUUCUCGCUCCCUUUCCCAAUCUCGCACCAGCGCCUGUCCUCCAGCCGCCCCCAUGGCUUCCCUCACCUCUCCCGUCAGCACUAGCCCAGCUGUGGUACAGCAGCAGCAGGCUGGACCUCUGUAGUCCCGAUGAGGAGAAGACAGCUUUAGUGUGGCGCUUGUCAAGUGUUUGAUAAAAUGGCUGAACCUGGAAUCGUUGUCGUGUCCACCAUGUCAGAGUCAUUUGGGUCCAUGAGUCAUUCCACCACUUACGAAUCAAGAUCAUUGGCCCAAAGUGAAUUUUGGAUUUAUGCUACAACCAUGAGGGGUCGGGGUAGAAAGAUGGCACCAUCAAAAUGCUCUAUAUGCCAAGGUACAGGUCAUCGUUGGAGAACAUGCAAAAGAGGCCAACUUGAUGUAGAUGAUGAGCCAAAGAAUAAGAGGAGGAGAAGCAAGAAGACAUCAAGUGUUGCUGCCUCAAAUCAAUUGGAGGAUGGAACAUUGAAUGCUCUUGAAUUUAAUUAUUUACAAGUUGAUGAAUCAAAUGUAGAUGCCUCCAACAAGUUAGAGGGUUCUUGAUGCGUCAAGAGCCCAAUACGUGUUGAGUGUGUGCAUUUUAUUUUGCUCUAAAAUUGGUCCAUGAAAGGGAUGUGGCAGAAUCAAAAGCCUCGUUGGGUGUAAUGGAUUUUAUUUUGUUCCAAAACUGGUUCAUGAAAGGAAUGUUCUAAACUCUAUUUUGUUCCGAC